This 253-nucleotide ribosomal RNA is filed under the name uncultured bacterium. Its description in RNAcentral is "partial 16S ribosomal RNA". It matches the Rfam family "Bacterial small subunit ribosomal RNA", at positions 524 to 776 of the family's 1533-position model. The record is from RNAcentral.
UACGUAGGGUCCGAGCGUUGUCCGGAAUUACUGGGCGUAAAGCGUGCGCAGGCGGUUCGCUAAGACAGAUGUGAAAUCCCCGGGCUUAACCUGGGAACUGCAUUUGUGACUGGCGGGCUAGAGUAUGGCAGAGGGGGGUAGAAUUCCACGUGUAGCAGUGAAAUGCGUAGAGAUGUGGAGGAAUACCGAUGGCGAAGGCAGCCCCCUGGGCCAAUACUGACGCUCAUGCACGAAAGCGUGGGGAGCAAACAGG